RNAcentral lists this ribosomal RNA (118 nucleotides) under Pteropus alecto (black flying fox). Lineage: Eukaryota; Metazoa; Chordata; Mammalia; Chiroptera; Pteropodidae. The record is from RNAcentral.
GUCUAUGGCCAUGGCACCCUGAACAUGCCCGAACAGGUCAGAUCUUGGAAGUAAGCAGGAUCGGGCCUGGUUAGUACUUGGAUGGGAGACCACCUAGGAAGACCAGGUGCUGUAGGCU